AUUUCCCGACAGGGACUGCGGGUCUGGAUAUUCCGUCGUGGACUACGUUUCCCACUGACGACGGAGAAAACUUGGUCCUUUGGCUCCGCGCUGCGCGUGACCUGCAGUCACCUGAGCAAGAGGGCGGCGUGGGUCGCUGCGGGAGCCCCUACAGCCCCAGCCCGCAGCCCACGUGGCACCCUACAGGGCUGUGAGAGUGGGGCUGCUGGAGGCGUUCAGAGCGCGGAGGCCCCAGGCGCGGGCCGGGCUCUCUCCCGCCUCCUCAGGCCCGGGGGUGCUGGAGCUGCCGAGUGUCUUUGCUCAGUUCAAAAGCCACAGAAGAAGUUCUGGACGAUGUGGGCCUUCAAUCUUCUAAGAUGGGAAUAGAAAGAAGAGGAUCUACCCAGACCAGGACCCUGCUGCCCAAUCUCAGCUCUGGCUUUCUGGAUCUGUGCUUCUCUGGUAGAGGAACCCUGAGGACUGAUCUACUCUUGCAGUUCUAAAACCAUGGCCCAUGACAUGACUUUUCUAAGCCAGAUGUAAUUACAUCAUUGGAGCAAGGAAAAGAGCCCUGGAUGAUUGUAAGGGAAGAAAAAGGAAGAUGGUGUACAGGCCUCGCUAUUCCCUGGGACACAACAAUAUUGAACGUAGGCUAGUUAAUAGCCCUACAAUCUCCUCUAAGUGUUCGAGUGAAAGGAAGAGUCACAUGUGUCUCACUUUAAACCAAAAGCUAGAAAUGAUUAAACUUAGUGAGGAAAGCAUGUUGAAAGUCCAGACAGGCUGGAAGCGAGGUCUCCUGUGCCAAACAGCAGGCCAAGUUGCACAUGCAAAGGAAAUGUUCUCGAAGCAAAUUAAAAGUAUUACUCCAGUGAACACACAAUGACAAGAAAGCGAAACAGUUUUAUUGCUGAUGUGGAGAAAGUUUUAGUGGUCUGGAUAGAAGAUCAAACCAGCCACAACGUUCUGUUAAGCCUAAACCUAAUCCAGAGCAAGGCCCUAAUGCUCUUCAAUUCUAUGGAGGCUGAGAGUUGAGGAAGCUGUGGAAGAAAAGUUUGAAGCUAGCAGAGAAUAAUUCAUGA
Molecule: long non-coding RNA, 1058 nt
Filed under: Homo sapiens (human)
Lineage: Eukaryota; Metazoa; Chordata; Mammalia; Primates; Hominidae
Description: non-protein coding lnc-SIPA1L3-6:8
Source: RNAcentral